Molecule: long non-coding RNA, 2277 nt
Organism: Bombus terrestris (buff-tailed bumblebee)
Lineage: Eukaryota; Metazoa; Arthropoda; Insecta; Hymenoptera; Apidae
Exons: 2
Source: RefSeq, a predicted model, not a curated record
AGAACGGAUCUUAAUUAUCAGAAUGUUUGUAUUUUUCAGAUAAAACCAAUCGAGAUGAUAAAAAGUUGACUAAGAGUGAGUAAUAUUCUUCUGGGAAAGUCAAUGAUCUUAUCAAGCAAUCUCUGCCAGAAUAGGUGGUAACUGCAUUAGUAUAUUAAAUGAUACAGUUAUAAUUAUGGAGAGAGUAACUGUCAAACAGCGGGAGCAAUUUAAUCUAGUAACAGCACCGAAAACAUCGCGCAUCGUGAAUAAAGUCCAGAUUUAUUUUUAACAUAUUACGCAGACCUGAUUCCGGGAAUAUGUAUAAACGGCCACACAUGCUACCAAGUAAAAUGUGAAUUCGAUGGAUUUCGAUGCUGAACAGAAAAAGGCAACCUGAGGAGACCAAGACAUCUGUCAACGAAGAUAGAUAAGAGGGAAAUGAUUUAGAGACCGAGUUGCUUGGGCAUGCCAAUUGUCGAUUUAAAUCGAACCAAUUGACCAUUAUUGAGUAGUAAUGGUUACAGAACCAAGUCCUGGGUUAAUUACUAUUGAACUGGGAUAUCCACACAUCUGUCGUUUAUUCGGUUAACAGAAGGAAAAACAAGAUUUGUAAUGCUAAAAAGAAUUAACAUCUGUUUGGAUUUAUUAAAGUAUACCACUAAAGGAAUUAGAAUAUGAAAUUAGUUUCAAUGGAGAAUAGGAAUAUUUUAAAACGUUAAAAGUGUGUUAUGCUAUUAUGGAAUACGUUUACCUAAAAAAUUCAUUACAUUUAUACUUAUGCAUUCUGAAAAUAUAGUAAAACACGAGCCACCGAUGAUCAGCGUAGCGUUAUACGCGUUAAAAACAAAAGAGAAACGCAAAUGAACUUAUUACUUGGUCUAAUGCUAUUUAUGUGGCAGAAUAAAUAAGCAUUUCGCUCUAUGAAAGUUUCUCUAUUCGAGCGAUCAUACAUUCUUAUUAAUUUGGAUAAUGUACAGCAUCUGUUACGUUAACCCAGUUAACCAGCCGUCUAAUCCUACAUUACGAAAAUAGAGAAUGUACUAAAGUUUACGUAAUCCGCGUUGCCCGAUGAUGCAUCUUAAUUACCACAGGAGAGCAUAAUUUCCUUAUUCGCGUGUUUUUCCUUUACUUUGCGUCGAAUUACAUGACUUACUAUCCUGGGAUCGUUUGUUCUUCGCUUAUGUCGACGAAACGAUAUCCCUAGCUUUCCUAUUCUGUGAAUUUAAUGGCGUGAGAAAUAAAAGAACUUUCGAAAAGAAAGGUAGGAAACAGAUGUUGAAACAACAUUGGAAACAUCACUCAAAGACAACUAACGAGUUGCGAAGCCUUAAGUCUUCUUUCGUUUCUGCGACUGUCAUUUAAAUUGAACUUUUUCUACUGUACUGUUUUUCUACUUUACUAAUCAAAUAGGUAGACUACGGAUGUUUGUGCACUUAGGAAAAAUUAAAAAUGUAAAAAUAUUUAUACAAAAUGCAAGUACGUAGUAUACGUAACUACGUAAAAUAUCCAAAGUAAAGCGUUCAGUGUAAUACUUGGUGGAUAGAACAAAUUUCUAUAUAUAGCUUCCAUUUGUUUAGUUACAUUCAUAGCAACAUCAAAAUGCAUAAACAUCCGUGGUUUAAUAAUAAUACAUACUGUACCAAAAUAAGCCAAAUUUUCUCCAGUCCUAAAAUGUUCCAACUUUUUUCAGAAAUAUCGGAAGAUAGUCAUUCGUCUAUCCGUACGACCUAAAAUUUUACUUCUUCAGCGAAUCGAGAUAUUCUCUAAAUAAAUAAAUGAAUUGAAUUAAAUAAAAUUUCUUUAAUAGAGCCAGAGGAGUUCGUAGAAAAAGAAACAUAAAUAAAUGAAUUAAAGUAUGACAGACAUAUUGUAUAAAGAGAUACAAUCAUAUUUCAUUUGCAGUCUGGUUACCUUCUUGGCAUGGAAUAAAAACUUUUCCAUCAUGAAUAAUCAUUCUGUUCAUACGGUUUCCCAAGCAGAGGCAGACCUGCAUCGCAAAUCUCGAGUAAUAUCGGCAAGGAACGAUUUCAGAAGAAGAUACGGGAUAAAUAUCACGUGAAUACUCACGAACAACGACUAACGAACGCAAUUAGUUCAAUUAGCUCAUUGCAGUCGCUGUUCAUUUCUGAUCUGGAGCUCGUUGAUGGACUUGCGUCAGAAACGUGGUCAAACAAUCUCCAACGAAGAAUUAUGGCAUUCACUUUCAAGUAAUCUGAAUUUAUUGCAACCUGUUGUUUUAAUUUAAACACAAAUUAACGGUGCAAGUGUAAGAUUAAUAAAGAUUCUCCAGUCAAA